This 481-nucleotide ribosomal RNA is filed under the name Streptomyces sp. RNAcentral's name for it is "bacterial SSU rRNA". It matches the Rfam family "Bacterial small subunit ribosomal RNA", at positions 87 to 581 of the family's 1533-position model. Lineage: Bacteria; Bacillati; Actinomycetota; Actinomycetes; Kitasatosporales; Streptomycetaceae. The record is from RNAcentral.
GGGGAUUAGUGGCGAACGGGUGAGUAACACGUGGGCAAUCUGCCCUGCACUCUGGGACAAGCCCUGGAAACGGGGUCUAAUACCGGAUACUGAUCCGCCUGGGCAUCCAGGCGGUUCGAAAGCUCCGGCGGUGCAGGAUGAGCCCGCGGCCUAUCAGCUUGUUGGUGAGGUAGUGGCUCACCAAGGCGACGACGGGUAGCCGGCCUGAGAGGGCGACCGGCCACACUGGGACUGAGACACGGCCCAGACUCCUACGGGAGGCAGCAGUGGGGAAUAUUGCACAAUGGGCGAAAGCCUGAUGCAGCGACGCCGCGUGAGGGAUGACGGCCUUCGGGUUGUAAACCUCUUUCAGCAGGGAAGAAGCGAAAGUGACGGUACCUGCAGAAGAAGCGCCGGCUAACUACGUGCCAGCAGCCGCGGUAAUACGUAGGGCGCAAGCGUUGUCCGGAAUUAUUGGGCGUAAAGAGCUCGUAGGCGGCUU